GAUCUGGCUCAGGAUGAACGCUAGCUACAGGCUUAACACAUGCAAGUCGAGGGGCAGCAUGGACCCAGCUUUGCUGGGUUUGAUGGCGACCGGCGCACGGGUGAGUAACGCGUAUCCAACCUGCCCUUUACUCCGGGAUAGUCUCCUGAAAGGGAGUUUAAUACCGGAUGUGUUUGUCCUUCCGCAUGGGAGCGACAAAUAAAGAUUGAUUGGUAAAGGAUGGGGAUGCGUCCCAUUAGCUUGUUGG
This 247-nucleotide ribosomal RNA is filed under the name uncultured bacterium. Its description in RNAcentral is "partial 16S ribosomal RNA". It matches the Rfam family "Bacterial small subunit ribosomal RNA", at positions 15 to 252 of the family's 1533-position model. The record is from RNAcentral.